Long non-coding RNA from Oncorhynchus gorbuscha (pink salmon), 1608 nucleotides. RefSeq lists it as uncharacterized. The record is from RefSeq and is a predicted model, not a curated record. The transcript is spliced from 4 exons. Lineage: Eukaryota; Metazoa; Chordata; Actinopteri; Salmoniformes; Salmonidae.
UGUAAGCCGUGGAAUGUCAGACCAACAAAAUAUUUAUUUGUACCGCUCUAGUUACGUUGGUAAACCAGUUUAUAAUAGCAAUAAGGCACCUCGGGGGGUUGUAAUAUAUGGCCGAUAUACCAAAAGGCAAAGUGCUGUGUCCUUAGCACUCCGCGUUGCGUCGUGUUUAAGAACAGCCCUUAGCCAUUGUUUAUUGGCCAUAUACCACACCCCCUCGGGCCUUAUUGCUUAAAUAUAGCGUGUUGAUUUGUUAUUAUGCAUUACUGCAUCCAGGAGCGCCUUUUUACGGUUUCCCUGCUCAAGUCAUUGUGAUGCCUGGGAGAGGAGCGACACCUCUCAUACAAUAAAACAACCUGAUCUCCGAAGUCCACGUUUUUAAUCUCAAUCACACACAGCGGAGCAGUACAGCACCGGUUACACUGGACCCGGAUGCAUCGAUGAUCAACGUCAGCUCGGUCACCGUGGAGCUGCUGCUCCAGAGACUGUUUACAUCAUGAGAGCACCCUCGUCUGAGUGUUCCAGAGCAAAGAAUUACUGAUGAAUUGUCAAACCCGUGUUGAAUAUGACCGGUAUCAGUAAAGGUCGGCAAACACUUCAGUCAUCAACGCUCUAAACAACAGGAAAACAGCCUAACCAACAAAUGCUAGGCCAAAACCUUAUCCUCAGCUUUUUGGUUUUUCCACGACCACCACCACUGUCACCCAAGGGACAUCCAGCCAUCUUAACACAACUUUAGGAAGCAUUGGUGUCAACAUGGGCCAGCAUCCCUGUGGAACUCUUUAGACACCUCGUAGAGUCCACGCCUCGACGAAUUGAUGCUGUAUGAGAGCAUAAGGAAUGCAGCUCAAUAUUAGGAAGGUGUUCCUUAUGUUUUGUACACUCAGUGUAUAUUUGGCUUUGUUUUAGGUAAUUAUCCUCCUGAAAGAUGAGUUUGUCUCCCAGUGUCUGUUGGAAAGCAGACUGAACCAGGUUUUCCUCUAGAAUUACGCCUGGACUUGGCUCUUUUCUGUUUCUUUAAAUCCUAAAAUAACUCCCAAACCCAUAACAUGAUACAGCCACCAUCAUGCUUGAAAAUAUGAAGAGAUAUACUCAGUGAUGUUUUGGAUUUGCCCCAAACAUAACACUUUGUAUUCAGGACAAAAGCUCAAUUUCUUUGCCACAUUUUUUGCAGUAUUUAGUGCCAGGAUGUGUGUUUUUGAAUAUUUUAAUUCUGUAUAGGCUUCCUUUUCACUCUGUCAAUUGUGUUAUUAGUCCCUCCUUUGCAUUGGGAAAUCUCCCUGGUCUUUGUGGUUGGAUCUGUGUUUAAUUCACUGAGGGACCUUACAGGUCAUUUUAUGGGGUACAGAGGUGGGAUAGUCAUUCAAGAGUUAAACACAAUAAUUGCACACAGAGUGAACCCAUGCAAUUUAUUAUGUUUCUUGUUUAAGAUAAUAUUUAUUCCUGAAUUUAUUUAUGCUGAAUUUAUUUAUGCAUGCCAUAACAACAAUGUUGCUUCAAUAUAUUAUAUAUAUAUCCACAUAAUCUUCCUUCCCCAUGAAGCCAUAUAUUUUGUGAAGUGCACCAGUCCCUCCUGAAGAACACUGGGAUGGUGUUCUUCGGCUUGCAAGC